This 67-nucleotide transfer RNA is filed under the name Sabethes chloropterus. RNAcentral's name for it is "tRNA-Ile". The record is from RNAcentral. Lineage: Eukaryota; Metazoa; Arthropoda; Insecta; Diptera; Culicidae.
AAUGAAUUGCCUGAUUAAAAGGAUUACCUUGAUAGGGUAAACUAUAAAGAACUUUCUUUAUUCAUUA